Molecule: long non-coding RNA, 1717 nt
Organism: Sapajus apella (tufted capuchin)
Lineage: Eukaryota; Metazoa; Chordata; Mammalia; Primates; Cebidae
Exons: 3
Source: RefSeq, a predicted model, not a curated record
AGAAAAGAAAAAAAGAAUCUCCAAACACUUUUUGGAGGAGCGUAAAGAGUUUAAUCUGGGGUGACAGAAUGGGCACUCUCUGCAGUCCCUCUCUUCUUGUUUCCAUUUACUUCAUUAAGAAUUGAACAUAUUUCAGCCAUGUGUGAACUUGGCACAUUCAAGAUUCCUGCUAAAAGUCAGAAUUCCUUUGACAUCCUACCACACCCUCUAGAGAAAUUUCUAAAGACUUCCUUCCAGCUGUCACCAAAAAUGAUAAAAGGCCAUUUACAGACAGAGUCGUUUUGACUGCCCCUGCCUAAGUGUACAACAGGUAGAAAUGUGUUUAUGGCCAUUUCUGGGGCAGUAAAAUAUUGGCAAUAGUAACCUUUCAUAAGUUCUUGCCUAAAGGAUGGAAGAGGCCGGGGCUGUGUCCUGACAACAUUCUUCUACUGAUGAAAUGCUGCCGCUUGAGAGUGCAGCUGAGGUUAUCCAUUUCUCAUAAAGUCAAGAUCAGUUUGUUCCAAGCCUUUCAAACUGAAGCGCUGCUGUUCCCUGCAUCAGGAGAGUGGCAUUAAGAGGAAGCCAGAGAAUCGCAGGGAUUGCUUCUUCAUCCAGCGCUAGAACUGAGACGGCUCCUCGCCUCCUGAAAAGCAAUGCGGCCGACUCGAUGUGGAAAACUCUAGGGAAAUUCACUAUCACCCACAGGAAACAAAGACCGCUGUAACAAUGGAGCUUUUCCAAGGCCAGUGAUAAGAUCUUCCUUCCGUGUCUGGAACUAUACUCUGAAGCGCUAGACUCUUAAUCAGCGCAAAGAGGAAACCAAGCCUUCCUUCCCAGGUUGACGGCUUCCACAGACUGCGAAGCUGCCUUUUACAAAGCACGCUGGAUGCUGUCAGCCUAAGAACCAUUUUCUGUUUAAUUCCCCUGGGCAUUAGACUAAACAAAGCACUGUGUUUCCAUUUUAAUAUGCGGACCCUUAAAAGACAUUCUUCUCUAUAUGAUAAUGAUAAAGCAGCCUAGGUUAUGCUUAUUCAGCCUGUUCCAUCACUAUCAUGAUUAUUUAUAUUAAAUUAGAAACAUAAGUUCAUAAGGUAACGAGUGUGGGUUGGGUUGAGAUGGGGCAGGAGUUGCCUUUGAUGAAUGAAAUCUUUUAAUUUUAGAUAAAGGAAGUUACCCUGGUGUAUCCCUGCUUAGUGAUAAUAAGAAUAUUUUAUUUGAUCCGUUCAGUAAACCUCAGAAAGGUAGGUUCUGAAGAUAUGACAGGGGUACAGAUGGAGGCCUGGGGUCUCUGACUCUGAUGUGUAAACAAGCUGUCUGAAGUCUUUCCAUGGUUUAAACCCUGGGUUGCAAAACGAGAUCCAUUAAGAAAUUGAAGGUGGGAUAUUGGCUGGGUGUGAAUCAUCCCCUGGUAAAGCCCUGAGGUUCCAGAAGAUGCUACAUUACAAGACUUCUAAAAACACCGAGGGGACCGACUACAGAGCUUUGUUUUAAAAUAAAAUGGUUACCUUGGAAGACUGGGAAAACUUAAAGGUGCGGGCUUGCAAGCUCUUGCUUGCAUCUUACAGGCUUCAACACAGGGAAUUCUGUUGCAACAGUGGUGUUGACAGAGCCAGCAUGUUUCCUUGAAACGAGAAGCCCCAAUUAAGAUGAGGCCCUCAAAUGUUUUCCACUGACUCCUCCUUCUUUUCUCUGCCUUUUUUGUCUCGGUUUUUGAGACAGGGUCUUGCUCUGUCGCCCA